AAGGAUUCCCCUAGUAACUGCGAGUGAAGCGGGAAAAGCUCAAAUUUAAAAUCUGGCGGCUUUUGGCUGUCCGAGUUGUAGUCUGGAGAAGUGCUUUCCGCGCUGGACCGUGUAUAAGUCUCUUGGAACAGAGCGUCAUAGAGGGAGAGAAUCCCGUCUUUGACACGGACUACCAGUGCUUUGUGAUGCGCUCUCAAAGAGUCGAGUUGUUUGGGAAUGCAGCUCAAAAUGGGUGGUGAAUUCCAUCUAAAGCUAAAUAUUGGCGAGAGACCGAUAGCGAACAAGUACCGUGAGGGAAAGAUGAAAAGCACUUUGGAAAGAGAGUUAAACAGUACGUGAAAUUGCUGAAAGGGAAACGCUUGAAGUCAGUCGCGUCGUCCGGAACUCAGCCUUGCUUUUGCUUGGUGCACUUUCCGGAUGACGGGUCAGCAUCGAUUUCGACCGUCGGAAAAGGGCUGGAGUAAUGUGGCACCUCCGGGUGUGUUAUAGACUCUGGUCGCAUACGGCGGUUGGGAUCGAGGAACGCAGCGCGCCGCAAGGCAGGGGUUCGCCCACUUUCGCGCUUAGGAUGCUGGCAUAA
This 580-nucleotide ribosomal RNA is filed under the name Ganoderma lucidum. Its description in RNAcentral is "eukaryotic LSU rRNA". It matches the Rfam family "Eukaryotic large subunit ribosomal RNA", at positions 70 to 634 of the family's 3401-position model. The record is from RNAcentral. Lineage: Eukaryota; Fungi; Basidiomycota; Agaricomycetes; Polyporales; Polyporaceae.